GACGAACGCUGGCGGCGCGCCUAACACAUGCAAGUCGAACGAGCGAGAGAGAGCUUGCUUUCUCGAGCGAGUGGCGAACGGGUGAGUAACGCGUGAGGAACCUGCCUCAAAGAGGGGGACAACAGUUGGAAACGACUGCUAAUACCGCAUAAGCCCACGGGUCGGCAUCGACCAGAGGGAAAAGGAGCAAUCCGCUUUGAGAUGGCCUCGCGUCCGAUUAGCUAGUUGGUGAGGUAAUGGCCCACCAAGGCGACGAUCGGUAGCCGGACUGAGAGGUUGAACGGCCACAUUGGGACUGAGACACGGCCCAGACUCCUACGGGAGGCAGCAGUGGGGAAUAUUGCACAAUGGGGGGAACCCUGAUGCAGCGACGCCGCGUGGAGGAAGAAGGUCUUCGGAUUGUAAACUCCUGUUGUUGGGGAAGAUAAUGACGGUACCCAACAAGGAAGUGACGGCUAACUACGUGCCAGCAGCCGCGGUAAAACGUAGGUCACAAGCGUUGUCCGGAAUUACUGGGUGUAAAGGGAGCGCAGGCGGGAAGACAAGUUGGAAGUGAAAUCUAUGGGCUCAACCCAUAAACUGCUUUCAAAACUGUUUUUCUUGAGUAGUGCAGAGGUAGGCGGAAUUCCCGGUGUAGCGGUGGAAUGCGUAGAUAUCGGGAGGAACACCAGUGGCGAAGGCGGCCUACUGGGCACCAACUGACGCUGAGGCUCGAAAGUGUGGGUAGCAAACAGGAUUAGAUACCCUGGUAGUCCACACCGUAAACGAUGAUUACUAGGUGUUGGAGGAUUGACCCCUUCAGUGCCGCAGUUAACACAAUAAGUAAUCCACCUGGGGAGUACGACCGCAAGGUUGAAACUCAAAGGAAUUGACGGGGGCCCGCACAAGCAGUGGAGUAUGUGGUUUAAUUUGACGCAACGCGAAGAACCUUACCAAGUCUUGACAUCCCUUGACAGACAUAGAAAUAUGUAAUCUCUUCGGAGCAAGGAGACAGGUGGUGCAUGGUUGUCGUCAGCUCGUGUCGUGAGAUGUUGGGUUAAGUCCCGCAACGAGCGCAACCCUUAUGGUCAGUUACUACGCAAGAGGACUCUGGCCAGACUGCCGUUGACAAAACGGAGGAAGGUGGGGAUGACGUCAAAUCAUCAUGCCCUUUAUGACUUGGGCUACACACGUACUACAAUGGCGUUAAACAAAGAGAAGCAAGACCGCGAGGUGGAGCAAAACUCAGAAACAACGUCCCAGUUCGGACUGCAGGCUGCAACUCGCCUGCACGAAGUCGGAAUUGCUAGUAAUCGUGGAUCAGCAUGCCACGGUGAAUAAAAGGCCGGGCCUUGCACUCUCCGCCCGUCA
Molecule: ribosomal RNA, 1350 nt
Filed under: uncultured bacterium
Lineage: Bacteria
Description: 16S ribosomal RNA
Rfam family: Bacterial small subunit ribosomal RNA
Source: RNAcentral